GAAAUCAGAAAGAUUUGGGUCAGGUGCUGUUUGCAGCCCCUCUGCCAAUGAAGUUAAUGGGCUGCCAGUGAUAGACCACUAGUAACAAGUCCCUAAGACAACAGCAGUAUCUGUUCUCACUGUACUGGGGACUUUUUGAGAUCCAGUCAUGGAAUAACACGAAAAUCUCAGCUUUCCUCCUCAACAGAAGUUCUUUGCUGGCCCCUGUGAUUAAAAGGGAAUAAAAACAACUUCAGGACUUGUGGGGAGCAAGGCAGAACUGCUGACUGCUUGAUUUCAAGCGGUUCACCCAUCAGUAUAGCCUGGUCUAAAAGCACACUGGACAGGUAUCAUUGACCAACCAAGAGGAAUUUCAGCCCUCCGCAGGCACAGCCCAUACUGUUGGGGCAAGGACAGGGAGCAGUGUGCCCUACAGCUACAGCCAUGCAAUGCACGACGAUCCCCACCUCUGCAAC
Molecule: long non-coding RNA, 455 nt
Organism: Oxyura jamaicensis (ruddy duck)
Lineage: Eukaryota; Metazoa; Chordata; Aves; Anseriformes; Anatidae
Exons: 3
Source: RefSeq, a predicted model, not a curated record